GUUAGAAAUGUUUUGAAAUGGAUAUUGUUCUCUCUUUGAUCAGGGAUUGCUAUAUGAAAAGAAGUGGAGUUUGAAAAAGGGAACGGAAUGGUCAAACCGGAACUGCUAGAGGAACGAAUUUUCAAUAGCAUAACUUGGGCUCCUAGAAUAUGGCGCCCUUGGGACAAUCCAUUUGAUUGCAGGGUUUUGUUCCGAAGCAAAGAUAUCCGCGGAGGCCAGUUCGUUCCCUUUUUCUAA
This is a long non-coding RNA of Brachypodium distachyon (stiff brome), 237 nucleotides long. RefSeq lists it as uncharacterized. The transcript has 3 exons. The record is from RefSeq and is a predicted model, not a curated record. Lineage: Eukaryota; Viridiplantae; Streptophyta; Magnoliopsida; Poales; Poaceae.